CAGUCGGCGAAGAAAGUGACGGAACCCGUACACGGGUUGGCCUAAAAUGGCUAGAGGAAAAAUAAAGUGAAAAUGUAAUCUGUUGUCCUACUUGUUCAACCGGUUACCUAGAACGAUGGUUAAUGGUGCGUUUUAUGCACUGGAAUGGGUGAAAUUAACUCGACGUUCAGCAUUCUCGAUUCGAUGUGAAUGAAAUUAAAGAUGGCCGAACAAAGAUAGUGUGGAGUGAAAACGCCUAUCCUAAAGUGAUUGAUGGCGUGCUGCCGACUUGCUGAAUUUCAGAACUCGCCCCUUGAAAGAUCUUAGCAGCAGUGGCAUAGCGCUAGUAACACGCCAAUCAUGGGUCGCUGACCUGAGUUUCGGAUGCUUUACUGCAAGCCAGUGCAGUUCUGUCGGUUCGUUGAAAGCAAAAUCAGCAAUCGUUUGCUGCUUCCUCUAAUUUGGUACGUACAGCGGAGUAAUAGUUUCCAUACUGUAAGAGAAAAAUGCUUGCCAAAAAUUUCCUCAAAAUACGCAGUAGGAUUACCCUGUUAAUUCUCAUCAGGAACGGCUAGUUAUUAGUUCUAAACGAAAGGCGCAAUUUAAUCAUCUUGAAGACAAUCACCUCAUGAUUCUGCGUAGGUACCACAACAGAAAGAAUAGAAUUUGAGAUAGGUAACUAUUUUCUAAGAAACCAAAACCACUUUAAUUUAGGUUAAGUUUUAUAAAUUAAUUUUUUAAACAUCAGAGUGAUUCUGCUUAUCUCUUCAAAACUAGGUCGUUUUAGAAUAUUUCCGGAAACAACAACGGCUAAACAGAAGUAAACACGAAAAUGUAGACCACUGAAUCAUUGUAGUUUCUCAAUAUUUUCUAUUUCCUAUUCGUACUAUCCUGGUCAUGGCAUAAAAUGUUGCGCUUGUUGUCAUCGUUUGUAGUUAAGUAAGUAGCAAUUGGGCAUUUGUGAUUAGUUAUUUGUUCGACCGAUUAGAAUGAGAUCUUAGCGAGAAGUGACUGAUCUUGAAAUAGGCAGCUAUUUUUUAAAUAUUCUGAACCAUUGUUUAUCCUUAACAAGAGUUAUUUUCCGUAACUUCCUGCACUGUGUCUGCUGUUUAAAAUUGAUUAUUUUCACAAGUUUUUACUUGCAAAACUCUAAUGUUUCUAUGUCGUAGAUGAACCAAAACCACUUUAAUUUAGGUUAAGUUUUAGAAAUUCUAUCUUUAAUAGCUGAAACCGAUAUCACACUUUCACUUUCUCACUGUUAGGCCCCAGCCAGAAAUGUUCGCGUCCUAGGCCUCAAUUUGCCGUUUUCCGCUGUCACCACAUGAAUAGUUUUAUUUGUCGGUUAAGUCUUAUAGUAUUUCACACGACUGACUGACACCUCGCGCGGUGCGCGGGUCACGAACUCCUAACCACUAUGAACUGACUAAAAAAAACUUUCGCACUCGCGCCUGUUGCGCGUGCGAACACUAAUUACUACUUCGACUUCGAUUUGACCCAAAAGACUUUUAUCAUAUCGUCUGUGUAGACUUUACUCUGAGAGAGUCUCAGACCUAAACAAAACAUUCUUUCCACGCUCGCGAUAGUAAAGACCCCGGUGGAUGAAUCAGUAGUUCAUUAUGACUCAUACUCGGAGGCCUUUACUUUCUACAACAGCGUCGCCGUUUGCUGCUACUGUGUUUGAUUAAACAAAGUGUUUAUGCGUUUCCGUAAGCAUAUGGCUUGGAAAGCGCGAGUGCAUCAAAAUAUCAGCUUAGCUUAAGGCUGUAGCUGGUGAUGUAACCCAGGAAAUUAAGUUCCCUGGUGCACCACUUGGAGAAAUUUGCCAGGGUUGAUGCUGGCCGAACUAUGGGCGCUGCACUCUGUUCAUCUCUUCAAAACUAGGUCGUUUUAGAAUAUUUCUAAAUGGUUUCUCGAAGCUAUCGCGAAACUGGAAACCAUUUAAUCAACCACUGCGGUUUCUCAAUAUUUUCUAUUUCCUAUUCGUAAUAUCCUGGUCAUGGCAUAAAUUGUUGCACUUAAUGUGAUUCAACUUGUGCAAGUUGGUCGUCUUUAGUGUGUCUUACUUACGAGGCAUAAAGACGAUCAAGUCUUGAAUCGUCUAUUUCGAUGUUAUUACUACUAUUUGUUUUCGAAUCAUUUUAAAAUACUACGUAUGACUCUUGCCAUCUUCUAAAUUGAUACGAAGCAAUGCUUCCGAUACGUGAUAUUAUCACUACGGAAUAUUAUUUUUGUGCACAUUUACGCUUGUUUUGCUCGACACUUAUUCGGUUCGAAGGACCAAAUUUUGGCGCUUGACUGGGGUGAUAAAACCACAACCAUGCCAUAAAACACAUUUUCACACUAAUCACAUUCACAAAAGCUACCAACUCAGGUUGAAUUACUGCUUCUCUGUUGUUUUAUUUUCAUGUUUUAAAUUCUUUUUCUUGGUCCUGACAGCCACUGUAAACCGACACUUGAAGGUUACGCUGGAAAUUGGCCUACUGCGAUUUCUUUCAAAUUCUCUUUCGAAUAAUCUGCAAGGGGCAGCCCAAAACGGGAAUGCUUUCGACGCGUGAUAUUAUCACUACGGAAUAUUAUUUUUGUAAACAUUUACACCUGAUUCACUCAACGCAUAUCCGGUUCGAAGGACCAAAUUGUGGGCUUGACAUCGUGCGACGAAGCUACAGUAACAAUUAAGUAAGGGGUAGGUUUGUCGCAAAAGAGAAAAUCUUGUGAAUAGCCGCAUUAUUACUCUGUUAAGAGAUCUUACACGAUAGUUAUAAGUGGGACGCAAGUGAUAUUUUGAUGUACCUCACUCGGGGGUAUGGUUACGAAUGAAUUUUAUUUUUCAUUAAACCUAGGCUAAGGCUGGGUCGCUGCAGUGGCUGAUGUUUACAAACGUAGGUUGGUAUCCACCACAACUCACUUUCGUUUUUAUUGAAAGGAGAACCGUAUUACACCAUGCCGCUCGAACGUUAAACUACGACACACCCAACUCGCACCGAUCCCGGUCGGGCGAUUACUGAUUAUUGUUUGAGCGCUUUCAGCUCGUCACAAAAGAUUUUUUUUGCACAUCUCCGAGAGAAGCCCGAAGAUCGCGAGACCUACAACCCAAAACAUUUCUAUUAUUCUCUUGCGAACGGUCGGUCACUAGUUUUUCACGACCGCCGCCGACAUAACUCAAAAUAAUAAACUAUUGCGUCAUGAAUGAAUUUUCCUAUGGAAUUGCACUUUUCAUACAGCUAGUUUUCCGAAGUAAUUGUGUACUUUUAUUUUAUGUUUUCUUUCUUGUUAUCACAUCUCUUUUCCGUUUGCCAUGAUGUAGUGCUUUGAGUUUACUUUUCAUUUUAUUUACCCAUGAAUUAUUUUAUAAAGACGAUCAAUGGUUUAAAUAACUUUCGAUCUGGAACUGUAUCCAGUUGGGUCGGGCUUAGUCAAGAAUAAACUCAUUUCUUCGUUUAGCUACAAAUACCUUUUUUGACACUUUUGCCGGAGUCGAAUAGUUUUGUCUCAGUAGGCAUGUCCAAGCAUUAGUGCUCCGAUCCCACCAUAAACCGUUUCUUCACUGUCGCUGGCUCAUUAGACAAAUUCCGUCACGGUCGUCAUGUAUUAAUUCCAGUGUGUAUUUAUUUAUUUUAAUCGCUGUAUCACCUUUUACAUUUCUUCCUAUGUUAGUGCUUUAAAUUCUUAACUCUUCCUCAAACUGGCUGUUUUCUGUUGGCCAGUCUAGUGGAUAAACUGAUACUUGAAGGUUGCGCUGGAAAUUAGACUACCACGAUUUCUUUCACAUUAAAUUUCAAUUUUCCUUGCAGCCAAUUCAGCAUUGCUCUCGCUACGUGAUAUUAUCACUACGGAAUAUUAUUUUUGUAAACAUUUACACCUUAUUCGCUUAACGCAUAUCCGGUUCGAAGGACCAAAUGUUGGCGCUUGACUUGGUGCGAUAAAUCCACAUGUCAUAAAACACAAUUGCACACUGACCACAUUCACAAAAACUAUUGUUUUAAAACACUUUUUUUACGGAAACGGUAUAUGUCACAGUGCAAAAAUCCAGUUGAAGGAACAACUACUACGUUUUUGCUUUAAUUUUUUCUACUUCAUUGUUGCCCAGGUUGAAUUGUUUCUUCUUAAUGGACAAAUUCCAACCAUUGGUCUUCCACUAUGAAUUAUGUCUCCAUUUAUUGUUUUAUUUACAUGUAUAUUCUUGUUUUAAAUUCUCGUGCCAACACUAUUUCCUGUCAGCCAGAUUAGCAGAGAAACUGACACUUGAAGGUUACGCUGCCUACUGCGAUUUCUUUCGAAUUCUGUUUCAAUUUCUACUGCGAAAGGCAACCAAAACCGGCAAUGCAUUCGACACGUGAUAUUAUCACUACGGAAUAUUAUUUUUACGAAUAAACUAUACGCAAAUAAAUUCCAUCAUUCAGCCAUGUUUCAGUGAGGACAAUUACGUGCUAUGUACGACUACUAUAAACAACAAAAAUAAUGUAUUUUGUGACAGUAGCAAUUAUCUGCGCUACGAUUGGUCCGUGCUAUUACAGCAUUGCUACCCACGCCCCAAAUCGCAUCAGCGUCUGGUGGGUGAUUCAAAUAAUUUGGUUCAUUCUUGUGUGCGAGCAGCUGAGCUGGGUAAUGUCAGAAACCUAAUCGAAGUGAAGUAAAAUACAGUUUCGGCUGUUAAUACGAUUACUGCAAUGUUUACUAUCCUCUGAAAGGUUUUAUGAAAACCAGCAAUUUCGGUAUUUCUAAUGGAACUACCGAAAUAAUUGUACACGUAUAGCGAAUGGCAAAUUAAUUCUGCUAUUUGCAGGGUUACCGCGUGAGAAUCAGUAUGUUCGAAUAUUUGAAAAUCGAUGUACGAUUGGAAAUAACUGGUUUUCGUAUAACCUUUCAGAAGAUAGUAGAAAUUUUAGCAUCCGUAUCAACAGCCCAAAGUGUAUUCUACUUCACUUCGGUUAUGUCUCUGACAUUACUCGCUCAUCUUUUUUCGAUUCGUCUGUGUUGUAACUUAUCUCACCGAAAAAAUACGUUCGAUCCCUGUCACGGUCGCCAUGUAGGAACGAUUAGUGCAUAUGGAUUCGCUUUAUGUCACAUUUAGUUUUCAUGUGAUGUAUUAACGUUGCUAAUCAACUUAUGCGCAUCAGAAAGUCAUCUGCGCUUAGGGAAAUAAUCAUCCUAGUGCACUUGGAUGACACAUUCGCUAUCCAUUUGCUUAUUUGCUGGCGUCAAUCCAUGUCACGUGGGGUGUCAAUUUGCUUACAAAGCCGACGAAAUAAAUUUCGUCAUCACCUUUUCUCGUACAACCGACCGUAAAUAUCAUUCCGCUCUUUCUAGGCUAUUUAAACUUACUGACAGUUGAUGCGUCUGGGACUUCCUUUUGGGUGACAAACUGUGACCUUGUUUAUUUCCUCUAUGACAUUCGGUGUAAUCAUCGGAAUUCCUGGUCUGGCAGUACGAAUCCGGUCCGAAGGCAAAUAUUCUAAAGAGAUUUCGCUAUAUAUUUCUAUUUACAAUUUGUAUACCAAAACUUCACCGAAUUUGCCGAUCUCUUCAAAACUAGGUCGUUUUAGAGUAUUUCACAAUUUCACAACCUUGUGACAAAUUGAGCUCAAGAAAAAACCAUCAAUACAUUAGAUUAUAGGAAUUAUUUCUCCACAUUAUUGAAGGUUUUGUUUGAUCCUACGAAUCAGCAUCUACUCAUUGUAGUGUUGUUUCUUCUUGUGAUACUGUAAAAAGGAGAAAGGCGCUUCCUUCCUCAGGUUUCUUUGCGGAUUGUUUCACUUCAAUUGAUAUGCGUAAAAAAAAACCACAGCUUCUUUUUUUCUUUCUUGGUCAGAUUUGGCGUUUCCGCCCACUAUUGUGAAUUUCACUCACUAUGUAGCGGUGCUUUUGCCGCUGUCACCAAUCAUUUUCUAACUAUAACUAUCUGAAUUGAGAAUUCGGAACGAUGAAAUAAUGUCCCAGAGCUUAUCGUCUAAGCUCACAAGGGAAGAAGAAAGGGAGACAAAACAGCAAGUUGCAACUUGUUGUCGGGUUGCUGAUAGCUCAAGCAGAGCUGUGACGCUGAGGAGGCGGCAGAAAAUCCAGGUGUGGUCUGGAAGCUUGGACAAUUUUACGACUUGCUUGAUGAACGGAACCAUUAUAUGGGUACUACGAGACCUCUGCAGAGUUGAGUUGUAGACAUUUAUAACCUCUUCUCCUUUGCUUUCUCGAACCUUCGAUGGAAUUCAAUCCAGUGUACGAAAGAGAUAAUACGCAGCCUACCCUCCAGGCGCCUUGAACAGAUUCGGAUUUUGAUCGGAAGAAACCCUCCACCAUUAAAACAGUGCGCGUCCGAGCAAGGGGAGUUGCUUUCUGUAUCGAAGACUGGAAAUCAAUUAUGAACGUGCUGUUGGGUGGACAAAAAGCAGAAGUAAGUUCAGGUUCAGACUGAGGAAUAGAAAACAAUGAUUUGAAUCUUUCUUUUAAUGUGUUCUGAAUGUGCACCGCCAUGUCAUACGGAUGCUUGGUCAUCAAUCGAAGCAUAUUUAGCAUAAUAAAAGCUGUCAUGACGAUUCCAUAGGUUUUCUGCUUUACCUGUUCCUUGAGAGAUUGUGCAUCAAUUUUUAGGUCCAGUUUUUUGUUUAUGUAAAUUCGUGGCUUUCGAAAGUCCAACUUAGUUGUGCGAAGGCGGCGACUUUAUUAAGUUAGGACUUGCCACUAAUUUACGUAUGAUUGUCUUACAAUGAUAAAUCACCGCGAGACUUCUAUGAACCUUUACAAUUAACUAAAUGCGUACAAAUUACCUGAGGAAUGAGUAUGGAACACUAGUUAAUUCUAAUGUUCUCCUGAUUUGUGAGUUGCGUACUCGUUUAGCGCUUAAAUAGUUUAUCAUUUCUAAAUAAGGAAAAACUAAUUUUGAUUUAAAUGAGAUAAGAUAUUGAAUUAUUACAUUGAAUGCUGGUAAUUAUUUCGAUUUCUUACACUAAGCAACCAGAAAGAAUCUGUUACACAACUUCCGUAUACAUCAACCUCAGCGAAUUUGUCAAUCUCUUCAAAACUAGGUCGUUUUAGAAUAUUUACAUCCAAUCAAUUACCCAUCACUGAAAUUUCGGAUAUGUUUUAGAAAUUCGUUUUUUGGUCAACGAAACCAACCGUCUAAAAUUUCGAAGAAAUUCUAUAGUUUAUCCCAGUUGAAGGUAACUGUGUUCGAACCGUGAUAUUAUCACUACGGAAUAUUAUUUUUGGCAGCAGAUACACGGUUUCUUAAAAAGUCGUCAUCAUAUGACCAAAGGUCGCAUGAGUGCGAGAUAAUAAAACCACACACUGUAAGUUCUUUUUAAGUUCUAUUUCUAUUAUUUUUGCGACAACCAAUCAUUGAAAUUUCUCAAUAUUUUCUAUUUCCUAUUCGUAUGCUAAGUGUCACUGAAGCGCGGUACCAGCCUACUGUGACUUCUUCCAAAUUUUGUUUCAAUUUUUUUUUGCGAACCGUUUCAGUUAUUUUUAUGACACAUUUUAUAGAUGAAACCACUGCAGCUUCACAAUAUUACAAUAUGCAUUACAAAUUUACGGAACUGGGGUCUCCCGAAGUCGUCAUCAUAUGACCAAAGGUCGCAUGAGUGCGCCGCGUAGAAAGAUUCAACCACUGAAAUUUCGGAUAUGUUUUAGAAAUUCGGUUUUUGGCCAAAGUAACCAACCGCCGGAAAUUUCGAAGAAGUUUAUCCUAGUCUAAGUCGAAACUGUGUUCGAACCGUGAUAUUAUCACUACGGAAUAUUAUUUUUGUAAACAUUCACACCUGAUUCGCCUCACACUUAUCCGGUUCGAAGGACCAAUUUAUGGCGCUUAGCUGCUGUUUUGAUAUCAAGACCUGACAUUGUUUAUAUAUUCCUUGUUUGGACGUGAGUCUUUGUUUUUUCCCUUUCUUAAGGAUUCGUUAUGAACGUGUCAACUGGAAAACAGACAGAGAAAGAAUGGCCGGAACAGUGAGAAUGAAGAAACGGUGAAGGCUCUCCUUUAUUGGAAAUACUGAGAAAAGAUAUGUCCUCAAGCAGGAAUCGAACCUGCGAUCUCCCAGUCUCUAGUUAGGUGCAUUAACCACUCCGCCAUCAAGGAACUGUGAUGAUGCCAUCACAUGUUCCCAACAGUUUUUUGUGAUCACCGCUCCGCCUCCAAUACCUCCUAAUUGACCCAUCGACCCCCAAUGUCUCCAAUAAGCAGAUCGUCACCUCUCCCUCUCACCGAUCGGACCAAAUCUCUUUCGUUAUCUAUUUUUAGGUCCAGUGGACUGUGCUCAAGGCUUGAGAUAUUUAUUAUCACUGUUUGCCCCAUUUCCUAACUCAGUCGCCACCAGACAGUUGGCAGUGAAAGAGCUAUGGAGGGGCAUGUUGAUGUCUGCCCUCAAAGCCUAUCAGCAGAAGCUAACGACAAAUCCAGCCGUUGAUGGAAUUUUAUAUAUUCCUUGUUUGGACGUGAGUCUUUGUUUUUUCUUUCUUAAGGAUUCUUUAUGAACGUGUCAACUGGAAAACAGAGAAAGAAUGACCGGAACCCAACUAGAGACUGGGAGAUCGCAGGUUCGAUUCCUGCUUGAGUACAUAUCUUUUCUCAGUGUUUUCAAUAAAGGUGAGCUUUCACCGUUUCUUCAUUCUCACUGUUCCGGUCAUUCUUUCUCUGUCUGUUUUCCAGUUGACACGUUCGUAAAGAAUCCUUAAGAAAGGAAAAAACAAAGACUCACGUCCAAACAAGGAAUAUAUGUUUACCUUCUUUCUGGGCAGUAUGGGCAAAGUACUAGCGGUAAUACAAAUUUUCUUCUUGUUGCAUCGUUUAACCAAAUUUUAAAACUUUCUGACUUCUUUGAAAUUUUUGCAGCGCGGUCAAUUUCAUUAAAAUGCUCAACCACGCUCGAGAUUUCUCUUUCGAGUUGGUGGUUAAUUUGAAUAAUUUUCUUCAUCUAGAUUUUUUUAUUGCUACCUAAACCCUGCUUUUUUGUUAGGAUUUGAUUACUAUUACAGUACCUUAUGAACUUUUCGGUCCUUCCAUUUCUCGCCUACGACUCUUCUGUUGCUGCUCCUGGGGCUGAGUCUAGUUUUAAAUUCGCUCGUUGUCUGCUUUUCUCCGCCUCGAAGAAGCUUCAUCCACUUCGUUCGUUCUUUUAGACCGAUUGAUCAAUUUGAAUCGUCGCUGUUAAACCGUAUCUCGUCGUUGGUGCAAAACACUAUCGCUCUUUUAUCGGUCUGACAAUAAUUUCUUCGCGGGAUAAUUCACUCUUUUAUCGGUCUCAAUACGAAAUUAUGGAGUCAGUUCUUUCACAUGAAUAAUUUCAGGGAUAUUCAGCAUGUGCGUGGAUGAAUUUUAUCAAUCUUGAAGACCCUCCCACGGAUUUUAAGAAUCUUCCCCUAUUCGCCAAUAUAAAUUCCUCCAUCCAUUAAUUUGAGGUUCAAAAGCUCUUAGAAUCGAUGAAUUAGGUACCGGUUGAUAGUUGGAAUAUAGGUACAUUCAAUCCCUGCCAAUAUAGUACACAAAUAAAUGUUCUGCCUGAAAUUCUCGCGUUUUUUUUUGUAAAAAAAAUUCACUUUGGGGGAAAAUUCCAGACAAACCGUAGCUCGCCGAGAAUGGAUGUUAAUAGUUCAUGAAAGAGAAAAGUUUUCUCUUUCGUCUUCUGUUGUGAUUUAUAAUCGACGAUUAAUGGUUUGUCCAGAAUUUCCUCUCAAAGUGAACUUUGACAGCAUGCUUAUUGGCCCUUUUCAAAAAAAAAAACACGCGAGAAUUUUUUGUACGUUAGCGCGAUUACCGUGUUCGGCUGCGACACAACCCUAGAGCCAAAUCCGGCGUAUUCACGACCAUAAAUUAUUAUCAAUCAUACCUGUGUAUCAUCCCCGUCUGAAUCCGUAUCGACCGACAUUCUGGUUGACAAGCUCGAAUCUUCCGGUGUUUCUUCAACUCGUUCGUUUGAGCACACUGACUCUACUGUCCUUGAUUGUUGUGUUGCUGCUACUAAUUAUUUAAAAAUUUUACCACUUUCCCGAGGAACUCCAUGUUGACAACGAGCGGUUCAAGAGAAAAAUGAAACGUCAUCAACAUCUCGCAUUACGUGCAAUUCCCCAGUAAAUUUCAACAGACAGCGUGCUUAUAGACACUCAUAGUAAUAGACCAGCGAAGGUACUUUUAUCGAGCCAAACGAACUGUCAAAAUCCGGAGCCAAACGAGCAUGACGUCAUUCAAUGCAAACAAGCAGAACAAGUAUUGCGAUUUUAUUUAAAAAAACAUAUUUUUUUAUUCUUAGUAAGCUUCACUUUUCGUGUACGUAUUAGUAUUUCACAAUGUUAUUUAGAAAGAUAUGUAUUGUGUUUAAUUUAACUACACAAAAAGCAUUUUAAUUAUGCUCUUUUUCAUCAACUUUGUGUUUCUGAAGAAAUUGGAUUUUUUUCUUUCUUUCCUCAAUUUCUUGCUGCUCAGUAUCAAACAUUUAACUUCUCUUUUGAUUCAUAUAUUGAACAACAUGAAAAAUUAUUUUGAUAAAAAGAGAUGAUCGAAUACAGUCGAGCACGCUGGAGCUUGCACAUUUUUGGGUGAUGCCAGUUUAACAUGCUUGUUUUUUUAGUUGCCAGCUUUGCGGUUUUUACAUCCGCGAGUCUAUUACUAUGAGUGUUUAUAAGCGUGCUCAGUUCGCCAUCGGCCGGCGACUGGCGUCGGGAUGUUUCCCCACGUUCUAGCGGGCGGGUAGAAAGACAGAAUAAGGAAAAUGACGGUUCAGUGAAUUUGUUAAAAUUAUUAAUACUAUACUGGAAUCAGAAAUGUUUUAUUCCUUUUCAAAACGCUCUCCAAACUGUCCAAAAAAGUAACAUUAAAUAAUUUAAUAAAAUGCUCUAUGACGGCGAACAAUCGAACAUUUUUUUGAAAUCUUGCCAAUUAAAAUAUUCCUUAAGUUUGGAUUCUAUAUGUUAGUAUAGGACGAAAGUCUGUACCGCAAAUUUGCGAAUUUCAUCUAUCUAUUGAUGAUCUAUUGUAUUGACUCUUUGUCUCGUUCUUCUUUGGGUACUCGGACAUAUAGAAUACUCGUGUGAGGAAGAGUUGUGCAAUGAGUUAUUUGAUCUCGAUCCAAAUGGAUGCCCUUAAACUUUUUCGGUAAAAAAAGACAUACGACUUACAAUUUGCAAAUUGAUUUGGGCAGGAAGAUCACCUAUGAACCGUGAGAUUUUUAUAUAUGGCAUCCUUACAGUUUGUUUUGGUUCGCUCAUUUUGAGUUUUUUUUUGGAAACAGUUCGCCAGAUAUGCACUAGAAAUUCACAGAACUGAAGUCCAUUGAAGUCGUCAUCAUAUGACCAAAGGUCGCAUGAGUGCGCCGCGUAGAAAGAUUCAACCACUGACAUUUCGGAUAUGUUUUAGAAAUUCGUUUUUUGGGUCAAGUCCAUCCAUCCGGUAAAAUUUCGAAGAAAUUCUAUAGUUUAUCCUAGUCUAAGUCGAAACUGUGUUCGAACCGUGAUAUUAUCACUACGGAAUAUUAUUUUUGUAAACAAUCACUCCUCACUCGCUUAACACUUAUCCGGUUCGAAGGACCAAUUUAUGGCGCUUGAUGUCCUUUAUCGAGGGAAAGUGCGGUUGCCAUAAUUUGAACUAUAUCUAACGAUGUUCUAUUUUUAAAGAUGUUAUCACUUUAUACUUAUCUAAACCUCUUUACAAAAAAGGAUAUCCUGGUUUCCUUUCUUAUCGUAUCAACUAAUCCUGUUCCCAAAACAGCUGCUUGUAGGUAUUGAGAUUAAUUUUACUGGAGCUACUCUUGAUGUAGCCGCUACCUUGUUGCCGUCCACUCCUUCCUCAUAUUCAUCUUGUGAUGAAUCUGACAGGCUAUUUUGAUCGCCAGUUUCGCUAUAUGCUCUUGCUCCUUAUGAGCUACCUACCUACCCAUCUACCUCUUAUUAAAUCUGUCUCUUUAUCUUUUAAUUUUAAUACCUUUACGGGAACUUGACCUCCAAACUGUUGUGUCGAGAAGUUAUUUUUCAGUUUCAGUAAUAGUUAUUGAAAAGAUUUAUUCUCCUUGCAUUCUGCCUUAAACUCGAGCAUUAAAUUUUUGUUUUGCGUUUUGCAGACGUAAAAGAAUUUCCUUGCAUUUCCUUCCCGCUCUGCAGGUGCCUUUCUGUAAUCCAGCACACGAUAGAUCGUGGCUUUGUCAUCGGGUUUUAUACCUAGCAGUGCAGUGGCCUUUUCUGUUGUUUGUCUACGCUACCGCCAUUUUUGAAGUUUAAAAAGUUCCGUUUCUGGUUGCAACUUGUAACUGUUUUUUCUUCCCGUCUCAUUUCCGGUUUACCAUUCUCGGAUUUACGCUGACAGGAACUUCGCUACCUCGUUUGGGCACGGUAUGACCUUAGUGGAGACCUUAAUGCUUCCUUCUUAGUUCGGAUAUUUGGAAUUGACGGGAGCUAUCACUAUUACUUUUUAGUUACACUGAAUUACAGCUUGAUUUUUGAGUGCGCCAAGCCAUUUUUUUGUACAAAACCUGGUUUCCAAGCACCGGACACGAUUUAUUAUCUUAUUCUUCUGUAACUGAUUAAUUACGGUCAUCGAAGGUAAUGAGCAAAACAACCCUUAGAAACCUCGCGUGUUUUUUUGUAAACGGCCAAUAAGCAUGCUGUCAAAAUUCACUUUGAGGGGAAAUUCCGGACAAACCGUAGCUCGCCGAGAAUGGAUGUUAACAUUUUAUGAAAGAGAAAAGUUUUCUCUUUCGUCUGCUGUUGUGAUUUAUAAUCGGCACUUAAUGGUUUGUCCAGAAUUUCCUCUUAAAAUAAAUUUUGACAGUAUGCUUAUUGGCCCUUUUCGAAAAACACGCGAGAAAUGAAGUGAACAUUCUGACAGUUUGCGUGCAUUUACCCAGUAAAUUUUCACAUGCUCCGCGAUCCGGUAGCCCUCUAACGGCGAGUAGCGUAAGGAGUUAUCCGCGUUUCAUCGCGGCCGGUUGAAAGUAGUGCAAUGAUAGCAGGUUCCGAUGAUGGUUGUUUCGGAUAGGGUUCUCUUUUGAAUUAGCGGUGUCUUUGCUAUGGGGGAGUACAUGAGUAGGUGUCAGAAUAGAACGUAAGUAAAAGGUGGUCAAAGAGUGCGUUUAAAUAUAUAUAGAAAUGCGACGAAAAACAUCUGCACUUAAUUUAUCUACCAAAAUGUUGAGAAACCUUUUGAUUUAAGUUAGAGCCGAUUUUUCUUUUAGAUUAUUAGACUUCAUGUGAAAUGACUGGGUAUACCAACAGUUUUCGCGAUUGACCUGCUGGGUAGUCAUGGUCGCAAUGAAGCUGGUCUCUUGCUGGUAUUCGAACAUAUAAAGGGUUUCGGCAGUCUCGAUCCUUUAGCUUAUUCGGCUUAACAAGACAUACGGCUUACAAUGUGCAAAUUGAUUUGGGCCGGAAGAAGACCACCAAUGGAUCAUGAGUUUAUUAUGUGCGGAACGACGAGAGACAGAUUCCAGAAUAGCAAGUCCUGGUGUUUUCUCUGGUUUUAUGAGAACUCUUGGAGUUUUGUCACUUUGAAACUUAGUUUAUUCGAAAAAUAUUUACAAAAGAUAUCUUAAAGCUACGUGUCAUAUAUCGUCGCGUGAAAGCUUGUCCCUUUUAGUCUUAAAGUUUGUUCCUAUUCUCCUAUUUUACGGCGUAGAUUUCCUGUGGCUUUAGAAAGGUGCAUUUCCUAUUUGUUUACUUAUAUAUUUGGCCCCUGCCUCUUCAAGACUGACAUAUCUGACCGAAUUACGGAUUUUUGCCUACAAUCCUAGUCUAUUCCCGUGAGAGUUCACAAGUAUGCGGUUACAUUUGUACUUCUCAAUCACGGAUUAGUUCAGAUUUUGUUUACUUUAUAGUCUCGUUUACUUCACUGGAUAGUUCUAGUUUUUUUGAUGGUCACUUGUUGUGUCUUUCAAACUAUUGUGGUCUGUCUAAUCGUGGUGUAAUUUUGCCACAAUCACUGAAAUUUCGCGACCUAUUGUCCACUAGCUCGGUUAACACGUGCUCACUUGGAAAAUCAAACCUUACCGUAACUCAAAUCAGGGUAAACGUUAUGUACUACACAAUAUAGCAUUAAACAGUAUUUACCCAGUAAAACCUGAUGGAAUGCUGACUCGGAAUCGGUUGCAAAAAUUAUUGAUUCAAGCGGUAUAAGUUUUCAGUCACCUAAACAAUUAAAUGUUACGAGUUUAAAGCAUCUUUUUGCGACAGCAGAUACAUCGGAUCUUAGAUUUAUCUCCAAGCACACACUAUAACCACUUUAAUAAAACUGUGUCGAACCGUGAUAUUAUCACUACGGAAUAUUAUUUUUAUUCGUACCAUUUCGUUUCACAGUAACAUACGAGCACAGAUGUUUGCACGCUCUUCAAAACUAGAUUUUGAGUUUUCGAAUAUUGGCCAAAACAGAAACCAACUAUUUUUUCCGGAUAUGUUCUAAAAGUUUGUUAUCACUUUUCGUCGAAGAUUUAACAAGUACAAGCUAUUGUAUAAUAGCACUUUAAAACAGCAGGAAUUAGAGAAACAUCCGGAAUAGUUUCGAUGAGUUAGAGUAAAAUUUCAAUUAAUUUAAAUAAUUAGCUAUUAAGCAAGAGACAAAGAAACUUUAAGCAUUUGAACAGCAGUUAGACAGUGUUCGUUUAUGUAAAAAUGCGCAAGAAUCUAUAAAUAAACGAAUUUUAAGAAAAGCAAAA
Molecule: long non-coding RNA, 14597 nt
Organism: Topomyia yanbarensis
Lineage: Eukaryota; Metazoa; Arthropoda; Insecta; Diptera; Culicidae
Exons: 2
Source: RefSeq, a predicted model, not a curated record